Molecule: long non-coding RNA, 1838 nt
Organism: Populus euphratica (Euphrates poplar)
Lineage: Eukaryota; Viridiplantae; Streptophyta; Magnoliopsida; Malpighiales; Salicaceae
Exons: 3
Source: RefSeq, a predicted model, not a curated record
AAGAGGUAAAUGAUCUAGUGUGUCCCUCCAUAUGCACAGUGAGUUAUCAUGAACUUAUUCCCCAUUAUUUUCAUUUCUUUUUUUGGGCCAUGCAUCAUUUGUCCCAGACGCAGAGAAUACUAGUACCAAGGAAAUGGUGGGGUUUUCAGGCCCUCAAUGUCAAGUCUGACUCUUACAUUUGUGUUCAAACCAAGUAUAAUGAAACAUACAAAAGUGGAGCAAGGGAAGGGUGGAAAUGAAGAUGCCAACUUCUCCCUGUAAUGGUCCACAACCCCAAAAGUCGAGAGAGAGAGAGGUGAGCUUUUACAAUCUCUACAUUGCAUUAGGCUUGGAAUGGGGCCAUAAGACAAGGUGAUGCCAAGAAGCCACUUGUAAUCAGCCUAAUCAUCCAUGGAUGCUUGCUGACGUGCAACUACGAAGUGCCAUCUCAGAAGGACCAUUAUAAAUUUCAAACAUAAACUAUAGUUAGCUUUUCCUAACGAAGCUGAUCUUUUCAAAUCAAUAGCUUUAACAUGAAUAGAACUCAUGCUCGAUUGGUUCUAUUAAUUUUAAAUUUUGUUACUCCUUAAGGCCAAGUGUGCAGGAGAUGAUCAAAGAGAAGCUUCCGUGAUCCUAGGCUUUUCUUUGUUACUUUCCUCAUCCAUCAUCGAUACAAGGGGUAGCUUCCCUUUGCAAUCAUGAAUCCAAUAUGACAUCAUUGCUAUAGAAGAUAAAUCUAUCUCUCUAUCAAAUGCAUACCCACCAUAUGCCCUAGAUAAUCAUGCACACUGUCACGACACAAAACCACCUGUAUAUAUAGGAACUUACAUCCCACCCUCUUUUCUCAAUUCGCUUUCUCUCAUCUUUCCAAUAGCAAUAAAUAUAAUGUGCACUAACGGAGUAGAGAGGUUCCCAUUUCCUUUCCACCCUUCAAAAAGAAGGCAAAGAUCAAAGAAAUGUAAGGUUCAAGUUAUUGGGCUCACCUGCAGGAGGUCAGGAUAUGAAGAAAUGGAGGGGAAGGACAUACAGCUAAAGAACUUGAAGUUGUGUUUAGAGAACCAAAGAAUCGUUGAAGAGAACAAGAAGCUGAGGAAGAAAGCUAAUCUUCUCCGCCAAGAAAACUUGGCCUUAAUGUCUGAAUUUCAAAAGAAAUUCUCUCAUUUGGAUCGCUUAUCCACCACCCUACUUCUUGUACACAACACUAGCAAAAUGUAACAUACCUAAUCUUUCCCUCGGUUAGCACAACCCCUAUUUGAUACCACACAGAUAAUUGGGCUGUUCAGAGUGAAAUAUCCCAGUAGUUCUUUCACAGAUAAGAGUAGAAUGGUAUGCUGAUGGAUACAUGUGACAUUAGGAGCUGUAUGGCAUUUGAUUUUCGAUGAAUGAUGAGCAGUGGAAGGUGAAGGUGAAAUAGAGACGAUUCUCUCUCUCAAGAAAAAAGGAGUGAAAUAGAUACUGUAUUUUGUAAUGGACAUGUAUAAAGGACUAGAGAUAUCUAUUCAAGCUAAAUGUCAUAUUCAUUUCCAUCUAUGCUUCCCGUAGGUUAACCUAAAGCCCCAUUUGAUCAGUUCAUUUAAGAUCUUUCCGGUAUCUUGAUUAGCAACUAUUGUUACCUCAAGAGACUCGGAAUAGAAGUAAGGACAAAAAGUCAACGAUGCUAUGCAAAUGUAUAAACCAGAGCAGUAAUAUCCAUUUGUAGCUAAGCAUUGUAUUCGAUAUUAUCAUGCCAUGCAUCAGAAUCUAAACUCCCAUUUGAUUGGUUCAUUUAAGGUUGUUUCCUGUAUUUCAAUUGAUCUAUUUAUCUCUAAUCUGCACCUGUGCAAACAGACAAAUUCCUUUAGCCAUGAAGCAAUGCAACC